Molecule: long non-coding RNA, 805 nt
Filed under: Falco tinnunculus (common kestrel)
Lineage: Eukaryota; Metazoa; Chordata; Aves; Falconiformes; Falconidae
Description: lncRNA (ENSFTIG00000002099.1)
Source: RNAcentral
CCGGGAUUGGCGGGCGUGGCCCAGCCCGGAGCUUCAUUCACAAAAAUUCGAUGAAACAAAGGAGCGGGCGAGCGGGGCGGUGAGCGGGGCGAUGGGCCAAUGGGCGGCCGCCCCCGGGAGGGGCGGGGUCGCGCCGGGCUCCGCGUGGGCCACGCGCCGCCGGUGCGGGUCGGGGCCGCUGUCCCGGGCCGGGGGCUCGGCUCGGCUCGGCUCGGCUCGCAUCACUCCGGCCCAUAUCCCCAGUUUGGGAGCUCGCAGCCCGUGCCGGGCGGCGAGAGCGCCGGGGGCGGGGGCGGGGUGUCCCGUGGUGGCCGCUGGCCCAGGCAGGUGGGAGCCGGCCCGCCGCGACCCCCCCGCUGUGUCCCCCGCAGGUGGCAGCCGAGAGGCAGCGCCCGGCGGCGGGAUGAAGGGCUUCCCGGACCAGCAGGUACCCUUCAUGCUCCCGCAGCAGCCUCCGGGCCAGGCGGCCCCCGGUGGCCAAGCUCCCAUGGGCGCUAGGAAGAGACCCGGGACCCCGGGCUUGCCCCCGGCGCAGGGCUCGGAAGAUAAUUCUUUGAAGGGACCUUCCUGUGGAAUUUGCACGCUGUUCAGUUUGGUGUCUGAAUUGGUUUGCCUUCAAAGAAGAGGGAAAAUUCAAAUCCCAGGGAGUCCUGUUAAUUCCAAGUUAAACCAUCUUUUAACAGCAUGGGGAAUUUGUUCUGAUUCUACUAUCACAAAUGAUCCAUUUUCUAGAAAAUUCAAAACACAUCCUCAAGUACAGACUCUUGAUAAAUAUAAAAGCACUUACUGUGAUGUAGGUACUUAA